RNAcentral lists this ribosomal RNA (465 nucleotides) under Dirioxa pornia. Its description in RNAcentral is "partial 16S ribosomal RNA". It matches the Rfam family "Bacterial large subunit ribosomal RNA", at positions 1816 to 2546 of the family's 2925-position model. Lineage: Eukaryota; Metazoa; Arthropoda; Insecta; Diptera; Tephritidae. The record is from RNAcentral.
CAUGUCUUUUUGAGUUAAUUUUAAAGUCUGACCUGCCCAAUGAAUAUUUUUGAAUGGCCGCAGUAUCCUAACUGUGCAAAGGUAGCAUAAUCAUUAGUCUUUUAAUUGAAGGCUGGUAUGAACGGUUGGACGAGGUAUAAGCUGUUUCAUAUAAAUUUAUUAUAGAAUUUUAUAUUUUAGUCAAAAAGCUAAAAUUUUAUUAAAAGACGAGAAGACCCUAUAAAUCUUUAUAUUUUUUGUUAUAUUAAUUUUUUGGAUAUAUUUUAUUUUUAUAAUGGAAAAUAUUUUGUUGGGGUGAUGUUAAAAUUUAAUAAACUUUUAAUUUUAAUAAAUCAUUAAUUUAUGAUUAAUUGAUCCGUUAAUAACGAUUAUAAGAUUAAGUUACUUUAGGGAUAACAGCGUAAUUUUUUUGGAGAGUUCAUAUCGAUAAAAAAGUUUGCGACCUCGAUGUUGGAUUAAGAUAUA